Molecule: ribosomal RNA, 250 nt
Filed under: uncultured bacterium
Lineage: Bacteria
Description: partial 16S ribosomal RNA
Rfam family: Bacterial small subunit ribosomal RNA
Source: RNAcentral
UACGUAGGGCGCAAGCGUUGUCCGGAAUUAUUGGGCGUAAAGAGCUCGUAGGCGGUUUGUCGCGUCUGCUGUGAAAGCCCGGGGCUCAACCCCGGGUGUGCAGUGGGUACGGGCAGGCUGGAGUGCAGUAGGGGAGACUGGAAUUCCUGGUGUAGCGGUGAAAUGCGCAGAUAUCAGGAGGAACACCGAUGGCGAAGGCAGGUCUCUGGGCUGUUACUGACGCUGAGGAGCGAAAGCAUGGGGAGCGAAC